CCCAGCGACCCACCCCUGGUUUAACAGUGACCUUGGAGCUACGCUUGGAAGGCUUAGAUUUUUAUCAGUUAUUGAUUUCACUGUACACAUGCACAAAUCAAUGAAAAAUAUUUCCAUCAAUGAUAAUCACAUUUUACAGAUGCCAUACUGCUGUCAGCAGAUGGUGCAGUAGGACUGCUAACCAUCGUCGUCAUCUACCACUUCCGCUGCAACCCUACUCUCCUGAUGCCAGGAAUCCACCUCGCAGGCCCUCUUGUCAUUCAGUAUAAAUAUCUAUUCUCGUGGCAUCCAUCAUCAUCCACCGCUUCCACUGCAACUCUGCUGUCCUGCAGACGCCACACCAUGGCAAGCAUGGAGCCUGCUCAGCUCACCGCUGCUGUUGUGAGCAUUGUAAACACCGCGCGUUAUCCUGCAGUAUGUGCAGAACCUGCAAAAGCAAGCAAGGAGGUGACGACAGUGCGAUCACAAUAGUGAUGAGGACAUGGACACAGACUUCUCUCAAAGCACAGGCCCUGGCAAUUUGGACAUCAUGGUGGCAAUCGGGCAGGCUCGUGCCAUGGAACACCAAUUCUGGGCCCGGGAAACAAGCCCAG
Molecule: long non-coding RNA, 593 nt
Organism: Chelonia mydas (Green sea turtle)
Lineage: Eukaryota; Metazoa; Chordata; Testudines; Cheloniidae
Exons: 3
Source: RefSeq, a predicted model, not a curated record